AGUUAACGUUGGCGGCGUGCCUAACACAUGCAAGUCGAACGCGUCCUAAGGGCAACUUUAGGAUGAGUGGCGAACGGGUGAGUAUCACGUGGGUAAUCUUCCUUCAAGUGGGGAAUAAGCUCUCGAAAGGGAGUCUAAUACCGCAUGACAUUCCGGGACACAAGUCCCGUAAUCAAAGCCGCAAGGCGCUUGAAGAUGAGCCUGCGUCCUAUUAGCUAGUUGGUGGGGUAACGGCCUACCAAGGCUUAGAUGGGUAGCCGGCCUGAGAGGGUGAACGGCCACACUGGGACUGAGACACGGCCCAGACUCCUACGGGAGGCAGCAGUGAGGAAUUUUGCGCAAUGGGGGAAACCCUGACGCAGCGACGCCGCGUGGAGGAUGAAGGCCUUCGGGUCGUAAACUCCUGUCAGAGGUGAAGAAUACCCGCAAGGGUUUGACGGUAACCUCAGAGGAAGCCCGGCUAACUACGUGCCAGCAGCCGCGGUAAGCAUACUCGUA
RNAcentral lists this ribosomal RNA (498 nucleotides) under uncultured bacterium. Its description in RNAcentral is "bacterial SSU rRNA". It matches the Rfam family "Bacterial small subunit ribosomal RNA", at positions 29 to 529 of the family's 1533-position model. The record is from RNAcentral.